GAGGGCAUAGCUCAGUGGUAGAUUGCAUGCCUUAGGCAUGCAUGAGGUCCUGGGUUCAAUUCCCAGUACCUCCA
This 74-nucleotide transfer RNA is filed under the name Camelus bactrianus (Bactrian camel). It matches the Rfam family "tRNA". Rfam says of the family: Transfer RNA (tRNA) molecules are approximately 80 nucleotides in length. Their secondary structure includes four short double-helical elements and three loops (D, anti-codon, and T loops). The record is from Rfam by way of RNAcentral. Lineage: Eukaryota; Metazoa; Chordata; Mammalia; Artiodactyla; Camelidae. RNAcentral also lists the same sequence under 1 other name.